This 445-nucleotide ribosomal RNA is filed under the name uncultured bacterium. RNAcentral's name for it is "bacterial SSU rRNA". It matches the Rfam family "Bacterial small subunit ribosomal RNA", at positions 335 to 795 of the family's 1533-position model. The record is from RNAcentral.
ACUCCUACGGGAGGCAGCAGUGGGGAAUAUUGCGCAAUGGGGGAAACCCUGACGCAGCAAUACCGCGUGAGUGAAGAAGGUUUUCGGAUCGUAAAGCUCUGUUAUUGGGGAAGAAAAAAAGACGGUACCCAAGAAGAAAGUCCCGGCUAACUACGUGCCAGCAGCCGCGGUAAUACGUAGGGGACAAGCGUUGUCCGGAUUUACUGGGCGUAAAGGGCACGCAGGCGGUUUUUUAAGUCAGAUGCGAAAGGUACCGGCUCAACCGGUGACAUGCAUUUGAAACUGAAAGACUUGAGUAUUGGAGAGGCAAGUGGAAUUCCUAGUGUAGCGGUGAAAUGCGUAGAUAUUAGGAGGAACACCGGUGGCGAAGGCGGCUUGCUGGACAAAUACUGACGCUAAGGUGCGAAAGCGUGGGGAGCAAACAGGAUUAGAUACCCUGGUAGUC